GGGGCUGUAGCUCAGUUGGGAGAGCACUAGGCUGGCAGUCUGGGGGUCAGGGGUUCGAACCCCCUCAGCUCCA
RNAcentral lists this transfer RNA (73 nucleotides) under Chitinispirillales bacterium. Its description in RNAcentral is "tRNA-Ala". It matches the Rfam family "tRNA". Rfam says of the family: Transfer RNA (tRNA) molecules are approximately 80 nucleotides in length. Their secondary structure includes four short double-helical elements and three loops (D, anti-codon, and T loops). Further hydrogen bonds mediate the characteristic L-shaped molecular structure. tRNAs have two regions of fundamental functional importance: the anti-codon, which is responsible for specific mRNA codon recognition, and the 3' end, to which the tRNAs corresponding amino acid is attached (by aminoacyl-tRNA synthetases). tRNAs cope with the degeneracy of the genetic code in two manners: having more than one tRNA (with a specific anti-codon) for a particular amino acid; and 'wobble' base-pairing, i.e. permitting non-standard base-pairing at the 3rd anti-codon position. The record is from RNAcentral. Lineage: Bacteria; Pseudomonadati; Fibrobacterota; Chitinispirillia; Chitinispirillales.